RNAcentral lists this long non-coding RNA (454 nucleotides) under Vitis vinifera (wine grape). RNAcentral's name for it is "long non-coding RNA (VVIN_LNC006672)". The record is from RNAcentral. Lineage: Eukaryota; Viridiplantae; Streptophyta; Magnoliopsida; Vitales; Vitaceae.
GAUUUCGAACUAUACAAAUGUAGAAGAGCAGUGAAAACAGAAAACUGUCAAUCAAGGAUUAAACCACUGACUAGUUAUAGCUUCCAUACACACGAACAAGAACCUCAUCCUCUGAUCUAUUGCAAGGCUUAUUGCUUCUGCUCACAGCGUUCUUGUUAAACAACCUGUCAAAUAGAUUAGUCAAUAAACAGAAAAACUGUUUUAUACAGCUAAGUUGGUACCAAAUAUAACCUGAUGGUAUAAGUUGUCAUCCAAUGACUAAACCAUACAGACAUUGCAAUUCAAAAUACCUGGGCUGGCCACCAUUACCCACGGAGCCUGACCCCUAUUAAAUCCCCAGGCAUGACCUUCCCCCUCAAUUGAUCAGCAGCGGCUUUCUCCUCCUCUUCCUUGGCAACAUGAAUUUCAUAAUUAACUUUGUAGUUGCAUCAGAAAGAAUUACAUGCACAACUCA